GAUGAACGCUGGCGGCGUGCCUAAUACAUGCAAGUCGAGCGAACAGAUGAGGAGCUUGCUCCUCUGACGUUAGCGGCGGACGGGUGAGUAACACGUGGAUAACCUACCUAUAGGACUGGGAUAACUUCGGGAAACCGGAGCUAAUACCGGAUAAUAUAUUGAACCGCAUGGUUCAAUAGUGAAAGACGGUUUUGCUGUCACUUAUAGAUGGAUCCGCGCCGCAUUAGCUAGUUGGUAAGGUAACGGCUUACCAAGGCGACGAUGCGUAGCCGACCUGAGAGGGUGAUCGGCCACACUGGAACUGAGACACGGUCCAGACUCCUACGGGAGGCAGCAGUAGGGAAUCUUCCGCAAUGGGCGAAAGCCUGACGGAGCAACGCCGCGUGAGUGAUGAAGGUCUUCGGAUCGUAAAACUCUGUUAUUAGGGAAGAACAAAUGUGUAAGUAACUAUGCACGUCUUGACGGUACCUAAUCAGAAAGCCACGGCUAACUACGU
RNAcentral lists this ribosomal RNA (496 nucleotides) under uncultured bacterium. Its description in RNAcentral is "partial 16S ribosomal RNA". It matches the Rfam family "Bacterial small subunit ribosomal RNA", at positions 28 to 506 of the family's 1533-position model. The record is from RNAcentral.